This is a small nuclear RNA of Panthera pardus (leopard), 98 nucleotides long. The record is from Ensembl. Lineage: Eukaryota; Metazoa; Chordata; Mammalia; Carnivora; Felidae.
GCGCUUGCUUUGGGAGCACAUGUACUAAAGUCAGGACACCACAGAGAAGAUUAGCACGGCCCCUGCGUGUAACAGAAGGAGAGAUGAAGACCUUGCCA